UUAAAAAGCUCGUAGUUGAAUUUCGGGGUUAGUAGGUUGGUCAUGCCUCUGGUAUGUACUGGUCUCACUGAUUCCUCCUUCCUGAUGAACCGUAAUGCCAUUAAUUUGGUGUUGCGGGGAACUUGGACUGUUACUUUGAAAAAAUUAGAGUGUUUAAAGCAAGCUAACGCUUGAAUACAUUAGCAUGGAAUAAUGAAAUAGGACGUUCGAUCCUAUUUUGUUGGUUUCUAGGAUUGACGUAAUGAUUAAUAGGGAUAGUUGGGGG
Molecule: ribosomal RNA, 265 nt
Filed under: uncultured Glomus
Lineage: Eukaryota; Fungi; Glomeromycota; Glomeromycetes; Glomerales; Glomeraceae
Description: partial 18S ribosomal RNA
Rfam family: Eukaryotic small subunit ribosomal RNA
Source: RNAcentral